GAUUCAUUACUUUCGAAAGGAUUAUCCGAAUUUGUACGGUUCAUUCGUGCCAACAGUCUACCUGGUUAACGUCUUUACGGAUUCUCUCUUUCUCUGUCCUUCAAUAUUCUCCACUGUUCUUUCUCUCUCUUGCUCGUUCUCCCGGUUAAAGUAACGGCACGCGAUUGCUUAGUGCGUAAGGUGCGUUGCACCGUGAACGCAGCGUCACGCAGUCACGGAACUUCCCCGUAAAGUUCGUUACGUGAAAAUCCCGCCGAAAAAAAAGAAGAGAAAAAAUUAUCACCUGACUUGAUUCUAAGCAUAUCAAAAUAUUCGAUACCCGUUUUAUUCCUUAUCGAAAAGAAAUAAAAAAACAAGCGAAACGAUGCGACUUAUCUGCAAGUCGCAGCAGACAGCCAGGCGUGGCUUUUGAACGUGAACUAGAAAUCUCUCGGGACGAUAAUGCGCGAUGCCGUUAGACAGUGUAGCGUCAAGAAUAUCUCUUUCUUUUUCUACGACUCCGAUGAACCGUCAUAUAAGCAAAGAUCGCGACGAUAAAAUACAUCGUGAAAUUUUGAACGAUCAAACGGCAAGUGUCUAACGUUCAGCAUUCGAGGUUAAACUUCCAACAGUACCUUAAGGCAGUGUAUCCAUAAGAAUCAUCCGACGCCAAUAAUUAUCGUGUUCCAGGGUUUAAAUAUCUCGAGAAACAGGUUUAACGACUCUUUUCAAAGCCCAUUGAAUAUUAAUCGACCAAUCUGUACGAGUGAUGGCAAAGAUUUUGUCGGAUUAAUAUUUAAAUCUCGUAGACUCGAUCGUGCCGCCGCUGUAUCAACGAACAGGUCAAUUACUGUUGGACCAUCAAGAAGCUGCAUCAGAUCCGCAAAGUCGGGUAAUCAUUUACGUGAACGUAAUAAUGGGUGCCAGACAAUCCCUCAACGCGUAUCGCACUGCUGACUGGUACAACAAUAGUUGGUCGGGUCUUCCGUUAGGGGAGCCUCGGUAGAAAUAAUUCGACUAAAGUGACAUCUCCGAAUCGUAAUUUGUUUCGCUCGGAUUUUCAUACACUUAGUACUGGUAUCGUAACACUCUGUGCCUUGUGUAUAGUACACAGUAAGAAUCCAACGAGACUUUCACCUUAGCAUUUACAAAGGACUUUACGAAGCGUCCGUUUCAAAAGCCGUUGUCACGAGGCACUAGAAAGUACACUGACUUCGAUUAUCGACUCGAACGGAAAUUUUGUGCCUGAUUCGCCACAACUGAUCGGUUAACUAACCGCUCGAUAAAGAUGUUUCGAUAAUCGUAAAGGUUAUAUUUCUUUGAUGCACACCUGCUGCUGCUGCAUCGACAAAAUUUAUACUGACAAUCAUCCAGCGUGAAUCCACUGUUGCAGUGUGAUCAAGUGAUACAAAAUGAAGAACGUAAAAGUACGUGGCAGCAUAAUCGAUUGUUAUUAACAAUGAGUCAAAGUAUCGUUGCAAAAUUAUCAUCGCGUGUUAAAAACUCAAUGUUGUUUUUCCACUGAAACAUGCGUGACCCUGAAAUGUUAAUACGAUGAUUUUUGUUUACAACACGAAAUUUCUCACAGGCGUUAA
This is a long non-coding RNA of Cephus cinctus (wheat stem sawfly), 1574 nucleotides long. RefSeq lists it as uncharacterized. NCBI's taxonomy places the organism in Eukaryota, Metazoa, Arthropoda, Insecta, Hymenoptera, Cephidae. The record is from RefSeq and is a predicted model, not a curated record. The transcript is spliced from 2 exons.